AGCGGCGGACGGGUGAGUAACGCGUGGGUAACCUGCCUCAUACAGGGGGAUAACAGUUGGAAACGGCUGCUAAUACCGCAUAAGCGCACAGUAUCGCAUGGUACGGUGUGAAAAACUCCGGUGGUAUGAGAUGGACCCGCGUCUGAUUAGGUAGUUGGUGGGGUAACGGCCUACCAAGCCGACGAUCAGUAGCCGACCUGAGAGGGUGACCGGCCACAUUGGGACUGAGACACGGCCCAA
This 240-nucleotide ribosomal RNA is filed under the name uncultured bacterium. Its description in RNAcentral is "partial 16S ribosomal RNA". It matches the Rfam family "Bacterial small subunit ribosomal RNA", at positions 94 to 334 of the family's 1533-position model. The record is from RNAcentral.